GAGGUGAACAUGGGGAGGAGGUUUUAUAGGCUUGGAUGUGUCCAAAGCCAAACUGUAGUCCCAGCCUCUGCUUCAUUCCUGGGGCAGCCUCAGGCAACUCGUAUCUUCUCUGUGGUCUGUCACCUGUGACUCCUGAUUCCUGGAGUCCCUUCUAAUGCCAUGGUUCUGUGGUUGUGUGGCAAGGGCAAUGGGUUGGUCACCGAAAUUUCUCUUCCUGUUCUUGGUGCAUUCCUUACUGUGCUACCUCUGAUUACAGCAUAAAUAACGAGGACCUGAAGCAGCAGAACUCAGAAUUGGAAGAGAAGCUCCGUGUGGUGCUGGCAGAGAAAGCAGCUAUGCAGCUGGGGGCGGAGGAGCUCCAAAAGAAGCUGGAGAUGUCUGAGCUGCUGCUGCAACAAGUGAGGCAGCAGCCCCAGCAGCCCGAGCACUGGCUCCGUGCGGUUGUCAGGGUGGCCUCCAGCCAAGAGCUGGAAAAUUUGGGUUCUUAUCUGGUCCUGCCAUAGAAUCUUCCAGAGAUGGUUAAAAUCCACAAAUGGGAGCCCUGCCCAGACCUGUGGAAUCAGAAUCUCAAUGAUAUGGCUUUUUAAAUUUUUGUUUUUAAAUCAUCUUGGUUGAACACCAUCAUGUUGUAGAUUUCCUCUAUGUGGUUACCCAGUAGUCUGUUCCCUCUCCUGGGGGUUCAGCCAGCACUUUUAUUAUGUGGUAAUGACCCUGAGUCGUACACUGAUCUAGUUCACACCCUGUGGAGGCAUCAUGUGGAACACCUGGGCUCCCCAGAUCUAAACUUCUCACUUUCCCCACUUCAGUUCUCUAGCCGGUCUGAAGCCCCUGAUAGUAACCAGCAGUUACAGCAGGUCGUAGAGGAGCGGGCACAGCUGGAGAAACAUGUGGGGCAGGUAGGCUUUGCAGAGGGAGGGAUAUGGGAGGAAGAUGGCUCCAGGUGGCCAUGAGCAGGUAACAACCAGUGACAGUCCUUCCUAAUUUCUGUGCUCAUUCUUGUUAGCUGAUGGAGUUACUGAAACAACUGCAGGUGGAGAGAGACCACUAUGCAGAGAACCUGAAAGGAGAUAACGCCAUGUGGCAGCAGAGGAUGCAGCAGAUGUCAGAGCAGGUGAGGCCUGACCUCAGAUGGCUUGCUGGGUUUCCCUGGUGUGUCCUGCUGUGGAGUGCAACCAGGAGAGGGGUCCGUGUUCUGGAUUUUUGGAGGUGGGGGCAGAGAGGGAGUCGGGGCCAGGGUCCUCCAUGCCCUCCCUCUCUCUGCUCUUUCCCCCUGUGCCUGAGGCAGCUGUGCACAUUGAGGGAGGAGAAAGAACAGAGUGAGAGUCGGGUUCAGGAGUUGGAGACCAACUUGGCAGAACUGAAGAGCCAGAUGGGUGAGUGGGGACUAGGGUCACCUGGAGCCCGGAGUGUGUGAGGACUUGGGGGUGGCUUAGACUACCCCAGGGAGAGGAGUGAUUUCAAGGACACUGUGGCAGAGGGAAAGGGGUCUGUGCCAGGAGAUGGAUGGCAAAUCUUAUCACCUCUCUGAGCAGCAGUGUGUUUCCAUCUUCAGAGAGGGAUGGUGUGCCCACUGCCAGUCCCCCACAGUUGACCUGAGCAUGGCAGUGUAAGGAACUAUAUUGGGAAAUGACUUGAAGGAUUGACCAUCAUCUAGGCAUGAGGAACUAUUAGGAAGGCAAGGUUUGAAGUGAGGAGCCUGAAUUAAGAGCUGCGGACCCACGAAGAGGGUUCUGAAAAGCCAGAGGUCCAAGUCCCUUAUUGUGUGCUUCCUUUCUCAGUGGAGCCCCCACCCGUGGAGCCCCCGCCCGUGGAGCCCCCACCCGUGGAGCCCCCACCCGGGCCCUCAGAGGCAGAGCAGCAGCUGCAGGCAGAUGUGGAGCAGCUGCAAAAGGAACUGGAGAACCUGGCUGGACAGCUCCAUGCCCAGGUGCAGGAUAACAAUAGUCUGAGUCGCCUGAAUCAGCAGCAGGAGGAGCGGCUGCUGGAGCUCGAGCGUGCUGCGGAGCUCUGGGGCGAGCAGGAGCGCAAGCAGAUUCUGGAGAGCAUGCAGAACGACCGCACCACCAUCAGCCGCGCGCUCUCCCAGAACCGCGAGCUCAAGGAGCAGCUGGCGGAGCUGCAGAACGGCUUUGUGAGGCUGGUGCGUGGCCCAUGGGCUCACAGGCCUUCCCCAUCAAGUCCUUCUGGGCCUUUCUGUCUUGGCCUUCACCCCACCCCGCCCCCCAUGGUGGCUGUGAAGCACCCUGCAAGCUAAAGGCCUCGCUCAGGUGUCUGUGCAGGGAAGGAUAACUCUUUGACUGUGGCAGGUGGACACCCUGGGGUCUCUAGCUGCAUUGUAUGGCACUGAUUCCUGCUUUCUGUUCAGACGAAUGAGAACAUGGAGAUCACCAGUGCGCUGCAGUCAGAGCAGCACAUCAAGAAGGAGCUGGCCAAGAAGUUGGGUCAGCUGCAGGAGAAGCUGGGAGAGCUAACGGAGACGGUAACCCUUGCCCCAUGUGCCCUCACUGUAGGGGAAGAGACAGCCAUGAUGGGAGGCUUUAUUGCUUCACACAGCUAACCCUGGUUUCUUUAGCUUCAGUUACUGGGCACUAGUAGGGUGCACUUAAUAGGUGUGUGGCUCUCUUUGCUUUUCCACAUCUGUGGCCUGAAGUUCCGGUGGUGGGGAAAGAUGGUUACAAAGCGUGAGGCUAAGUGUUGGAGGCAUGGGGCUCUGUUACCCUCCACCACCAACCACCACCGUCACUUAUGGGCUGGGAUCAAGAACUGGAAGCAAGUCACACUUGUCCUUACACCCAGGGCCUUCCCACAGGUGGAGCUGAAGAGCCAGGAGGCUCAGGGUCUGCAACAGCAGCGAGACCAGUACCUGUCUCACCUGCAUCAAUACGUGGCAGCCUAUCAACAGCACGUGGCUGCCUAUCAGCAGCUGACCUCCGAGAAGGAGGCGCUGCACAAGCAGGUUCUGCUGCAGACUCAGCUUAUGGACCGGCUGCAGCAUGAGGAGGUGCAGGGCAAGAUGGCAGUGGAGAUGGCCCGCCAGGAGUUGCAGGAGACCCAGGUGAGGGGGCUGCUAAGGCCGGGCCCCUAAGUGGAGGACGUGGCCAUUCUGUGCCUUCUCACUCUCUUCCCAAUCCCGUAGGAGCGCCUAGAAGCCACCAGUCAGCAAAACCAACAGCUACAGGCCCAGCUGAGCCUCCUGGCUCUCCCUGGGGAAGGUGAGUGAAACCAUCCUGAGGAGGGGAGCCUGAAGAGGGACUGUGGUGGAACAGAGUUGAGGAGUUAGAGGAAGACUUCGGAACGUGCUGUUAAUCUCUGGGGAGGCUGGCCCAGGGGUACACAGUGAGGGGGCAGAAGUGGACCCUUUUUUUCCUGGGCCUUCCCUUGGGUUGUCUGAGGGAUCCCUCUGGCUGUCUGCAGUAGAAGAUGAAAUGGACGAGGAAGAAAAGGAGGAGGCGGCUUCUCGGCCCAGUUUGACCAUCCCAGAGGACCUGGACAGCCGAGAGGCCAUGGUGAGCUGUGCUCUCCUGUCCCUUCCCCAGCUCACCUUUUCUGCCUCCCUCUGUGGUCCCUCUGGAUGUCCUGAUACCUUGGUUUUUCCCACUCCCAUUUCCGCCAACACCCACACCUCCCGUGGAGACAGGGAUUGGAUACGUGCCCCCCUAGGAAAAAUAGUGACCCACUGAGGCCCAGGGGAGGGCUGCUCUGCUCUGCUCUCUGCUCCCUGGUUUGUCCCGAGCAUUUUUUCAAUAAAAAGGACAUGUCUGCCUCUAGGUGGUAUUUUUUAAUGCGGCUCUAGCCAAUGCCGAGGAAGAGAAGGCACGGCUGCGCAGGCAGCUGAGGGAGCAGCAGACACGCUGCCGGCGCCUGGCUUAUCUGGAAGCCACAUCCCAGAGUGAGCCCACAGAGCAAGCCCUGGUCCCCAGGAGUGGGGACAAUUGUGUGUCUGGGGAGAGCACCCAGGCUCUACAGAUGGCCAUGGAGAAGCUGCAGGUGAGUGAGCCUUUCCCAACAGAGGAAGUGUAGAUACAGGACAGGUCCCUCCUGAGUCUUGACCCUGCUAUUUUGGCCUCAGAGCCGCUUCCUGGAGGUCAUGCAGGAGAAGGUGGAGCUCAAGGAGCGGGUGGAGGAACUGGAACAUCGCUGCAUCCAGCUCUCUGGAGAGACGGAUACCAUCGGUGAGCCCAGCUGGGGCCCAAGGCAGUGGGGGUUGCAUAGGGGCCUGUUGGGGGAGCCCCAGCAUCUGAGUCCUGUGCCCUGCCCUCCCUGCAGGAGAGUAUAUUGCCCUCUACCAAAAUCAGAGGGCAGUGCUGAAGGAGCGCCACCGAGAGAAGGAGGAGUACAUCAGCCGACUGGCGCAGGACAAGGAGGAGAUGAAGGUAGGAGCCCCUGAACAUCUCUUCUCUGCGGGCCUGCAGGCUGGGCGGGGGCCGGGAUACUGAGCAUCUCUCCCUUCAGGUCAAGUUGCUGGAGCUGCAGGAGCUGGUGCUGCGGCUUGUGGGGGAGCGUAACGAGUGGCAGGGCAAGUUUCUGGCAGCGGCCCAGAGUCCUGCUGAAACCACCACUCCAGAGCCAGCAAGCCCCCAGGAAUUUGGAGCAACUGACAAGCAGGGUGGUGAGUAGAGACCUCAGGACGGGCUGACAGGAGGAGCAGCAGAGGGCUGCUCCGUGCUCAGAGGCCUUUCCUCUCUCCAAAGACCUUCAAGAGGUGAGCCUUGCUGACAGCGUGGAGCCGGCACAAGGAGAGGCUGGGGCGGCUUCUCCCCCUGAGAACCACACUGCGCAGCAGAUCAUACAGCUGCUGCGCAAGAUCCAGAACCCCCAGGAACGCCUCGGCCUGGGCACCAACCCCUGCGUCCCCUUCUUCUACCGUGCCGA
This 4872-nucleotide long non-coding RNA is filed under the name Marmota monax (woodchuck). The record is from RNAcentral. Lineage: Eukaryota; Metazoa; Chordata; Mammalia; Rodentia; Sciuridae.